RNAcentral lists this ribosomal RNA (377 nucleotides) under uncultured eukaryote. RNAcentral's name for it is "partial 18S ribosomal RNA". It matches the Rfam family "Eukaryotic small subunit ribosomal RNA", at positions 592 to 976 of the family's 1831-position model. The record is from RNAcentral.
CAAUAGCGUAUAUUAAAGUUGUUGCAGUUAAAAAGCUCGUAGUUGGAUUUCGGGGCAGCCUGGCUGGUCCGCCGCAAGGCGAGUACUGGUCAGCCGCCCUUCCUCUCGAAAGCCCCGACUGCUCUUCGUUGCAGUGGUCGGGUAGUUCGGGACGUUUACUUUGAAAAAAUUAGAGUGUUCAAGGCAGGCCUACGCCUGAAUACAUUAGCAUGGGAUAAUGGAAGAGGACCUCGGUCCUAUUUUGUUGGUUUCCAGGGCCGAAGUAAUGAUUAAGAGGGACAGUUGGGGGCAUUCGUAUUUAAUUGUCAGAGGUGAAAUUCUCGGAUUUAUGAAAGACGAACAACUGCGAAAGCAUUUGCCAAGGAUGUUUUCAUUAA